This is a long non-coding RNA of Hippopotamus amphibius kiboko, 1355 nucleotides long. RefSeq lists it as uncharacterized. The transcript has 3 exons. The record is from RefSeq and is a predicted model, not a curated record. Lineage: Eukaryota; Metazoa; Chordata; Mammalia; Artiodactyla; Hippopotamidae.
GGUGGGGAGCGUUGUACUUUUGUUCAAUAUGUGCAAGAAUCACAUUGAGUAGGUAUUUUAUCUUUGUCCAGUAUACUAAGUGGCAAGAUACACCCCUUUGAGAUUUAAUUCACUCAUUUUAACUGUUGUUAGUGCUGAAAAUAUUAUAAUGGAUCACGUAUUGGAGGAUCGAACCAUUAAAAUACGAAAUAGUCUGAAUUUUAAAUGCUCUGAAAUGCAUUGUGGGAAUGUCCAAUUUUUUUGGUCUUUUGGAUGCUAUUCUGGCUAAAUGGCAUGUUGAACAUGGUACACCUUUAAGUGAGGUAGAAAUAUAUGUCUAAUGUGGAAAAAACUGAGUUUAGCAAACUGAUUAUUUCAUACAUAAGCACCACUUCUAAAGAUUUGGGACAUUCUUUCAUUUACUAGGGUAGGUAAUACUAACCUUAUCUUUCCCCAAAAUAUUCUUUCUAAAGAAAGGUAGAUCAUUCUGAAAGAAAUUAUUCUUUAUACAUACUUCCACAAGCAAUGACUUAUUAAAAACCAGUUACAUUUUGUCUUUUUUUUUCCUAUUCAUAUUUGACUUUUUCCCCCUCCAUACCCAUUCACUUUACAGUCAUGAUUUCGUGCUUUGAAUAGAGAGGUGCUUUCUGAUUUGGGAGAAUCAUUUUAGUUACAGCUGAAAAUAAAAAGGACAUGCUAGACUAUACUUUUCUUCUAGGUCAUCUCUGUUUAAUAUUUCAGAAAAAAAUAAUAGUAUUAGGACCACAACCUCUCCUUUACAAAUACCUGCAUUGUAUGAAGAAUUGGCUUGGCUUGAUAUUUGACAAAAGAUAAAACUCUAGAAGUAACUUUUUUCAGAAUCACUGUAGAAUAGUGAGCUGAAUGUAGAACCAUGACUUUACCGUGCCUUUAUUGUCCCCUUUCUAGUGCCUACUAUCACAAACUAAAUGCUUAAUACUUGUUGGCUUGAAUUGAUGUCCUUGAAGAUGUGAAUUUCUAGUGGGUACUAACUAUAUCUGCUGCUGAGAUGAAGGAAGAGGGCCAGAUGAAGGGAGAGUGAAGAUCAUUUGUCAUAUAAUGUCACCCUAUAAAUAUUUUGAAGAGAUUCUAUUGCUAUAAAGCAUAAAUACAUCCCUGUUGGGAAAGACAGGAGCAGUGUUUUCUGAUUAUAAGGAGUGUUUGUUGGAGCUACAGGAGUGUGGAAGCAAUUCAGGAACAUCAUUGCGAGGAGUCUCUGGCAGAGAGAAUUCAAACAGCUGUGAUGGGAAAUGGGGUACAGCCUUCACAGGACAUACAUGAUAAAAUACCAGAGUGGAAUGUUGUCCUGAUGUUGGAUGGGAUUCUCAGGUGAGAAGCUAGUUUAUCAGUACUGUGAA